This 492-nucleotide ribosomal RNA is filed under the name uncultured bacterium. RNAcentral describes it as "partial 16S ribosomal RNA". It matches the Rfam family "Bacterial small subunit ribosomal RNA", at positions 29 to 507 of the family's 1533-position model. The record is from RNAcentral.
AGUGAACGCUGGCGGUAGGCCUAACACAUGCAAGUCGAACGGCAGCACAGUAAGAGCUUGCUCUUACGGGUGGCGAGUGGCGGACGGGUGAGGAAUACAUCGGAAUCUACUUUUUCGUGGGGGGUAACGUAGGGAAACUUACGCUAAUACCGCAUACGACCUACGGGUGAAAGCAGGGGAUCUUCGGACCUUGCGCGAUUGAAUGAGCCGAUGUCGGAUUAGCUAGUUGGCGGGGUAAAGGCCCACCAAGGCGACGAUCCGUAGCUGGUCUGAGAGGAUGAUCAGCCACACUGGAACUGAGACACGGUCCAGACUCCUACGGGAGGCAGCAGUGGGGAAUAUUGGACAAUGGGCGCAAGCCUGAUCCGGCCAUACCGCGUGGGUGAAGAAGGCCUUCGGGUUGUAAAGCCCUUUUGUUGGGAAAGAAAAGCAGCAGGUUAAUACCCCGCUGUUCUGACGGUACCCAAAGAAUAAGCACCGGCUAACUUCGUG